AACAAUAUGGCAGUAAUUGAAUUACAGUUAUUGGUGUAUCAUACGCUUUUUAAUUUCAAAAAAAAAAAACGCAAACAAAUUUUUGUGAAAAUAGUUACGUAAAGAUAAGAAUUAGUUGGGUUUUUUAAUUACCAUUUAGCUUACGUGACGCAAAAAACGCUGAUCAGCACAUAAAAGCCGACACAUUACAACAGGAGACGAAACGCGACGCAACGGUGCUGAGCAGCGCGCAUAUUUGAAAUUCCAACGCAGUUCAAUGCGAGCGCAAGCAACACGAAAAGUCAACCGAUCGACGAUUUUCAAGUCAAGUUCGAGUUCAACACACAGCGCGCUUUCUUGCGGCAAUAGUCAAGUGAAAACGUUUAAGCGCGACUUAUACGUUGCGCGACUGCGAGAAAACUGAAAAAUUCCAAACAGUUAAGCUGUCAAGCCAAUCAGCAAAGCGGCCAACGCAAACAAAAUGCGACAGAGUCAAGAGCAUCUGAGCACUGUACUAAUGAAUAUUGAGGACGUAACAUACUCGUAUAAAAAACAUUUAGCAUCGACGACGUGACUCCGGCAUAGCCACCACACGCCAAAAGAGCCAAGUGAGCGCGAAGGAGAGUGCGCAACUCUCGAAGGCACACUCGAAGUCUGUGCGUGCUGGGCAGACGUGUUAUCGACAGGCGGAGAACAGACAAGCGCGACCACAACGAGCAAACAAUCAGAGUCGGUGCCAGCCAGCCGCUGAGAUAGCGUAGAGAGACAGUGAAGAAGAUUGGAGUCAGCGUGAGCGCAAAUGCUAGCUUUGUUGAAUAAGUAGUGAAACGGUAGCGCGGUGACGGAAGAUGCACCAAGAACACGUACCAAAAACACUUCUGCAUGCUCCCAAAAGUUAUGUGUAUGUAUGUGUAUAGAGAAAAACAUUCCAUACCAACGCUGGUUGCAGGAACAAAAAUACUUUACAAUGGUUUGAUUGGCAAAGCGCGGCUGCAACUGCACCGAUCUCUACCAGACACUUGAAGAUGCACAUAACUCAGCUUAGUAAGUCCGGCGCAGUGAACUCGAAAGCAAAUAAUGCAUGCUGCAGACAUCGGCAACUCAAUCGCGAAAAGCGGCUGGGUGCAUUCAGCAACUCUAGUUUAGUAAGUAUGCUCUGUAGUGGCAACUAAUUUGUGUACCGCUUGGCACCCACUGCAACACAAAGCUAGCCAAGUGUGUGAGUAUGUGCCGCUUUGGAGGCUUAUAGGUUGUUGCUGUUCUAUUUGUUUUGCGUGCGUAUCGACAAUAAUGUGAUUCUGCCUCAAUUCUGUUGGUGUGCUGUAUUGUGCUGAAACGUCACCCAGUAAACCGUUAAUUUUCUUUAUGUUUCAACAAAAUAGCGCAGCUAGUUUCACUUUGAAAAACUUAAAUUCAGAACGAUUAAAUGAAAUCUCAUGAAACUUUGACUAUUCAGUAUAAGGUUAGUACUCUAAGGCACAGAUAAAUAUUUUUAGUUUGUGACGAUCUCUCUGUCAAGAAAAUUUUCAUUUCAUGUAGUAUAUGUGGACGAUCAAUAAAUGAAUAUUAGAGAGGAUGAA
This is a non-coding RNA of Bactrocera oleae (olive fruit fly), 1559 nucleotides long. NCBI's taxonomy places the organism in Eukaryota, Metazoa, Arthropoda, Insecta, Diptera, Tephritidae. The record is from RefSeq and is a predicted model, not a curated record.